GGGGGGAGCUCAGUGGCAGAGCCCACGCCUAGCACGCAUGAGGUCCUGGGUUCAGUUCCCAGUACCUCCA
This 70-nucleotide transfer RNA is filed under the name Camelus bactrianus (Bactrian camel). It matches the Rfam family "tRNA". From Rfam's summary of the family: Transfer RNA (tRNA) molecules are approximately 80 nucleotides in length. Their secondary structure includes four short double-helical elements and three loops (D, anti-codon, and T loops). The record is from Rfam by way of RNAcentral. RNAcentral also lists the same sequence under 2 other names. Lineage: Eukaryota; Metazoa; Chordata; Mammalia; Artiodactyla; Camelidae.